AUAAUGACUCUCGGCAACGGAUAUCUCGGCUCUCGCAUCGAUGAAGAACGWAGCGAAAUGCGAUACUUUUGCAGAAUCCCGUGAACCAUCGAGUCUUUGAACGCAAGUUGCGCCCGAAGCCUUCUGGCCGAGGGCACGUCUGCCUGGGCGUCACGCA
Molecule: ribosomal RNA, 157 nt
Filed under: Suaeda calceoliformis
Lineage: Eukaryota; Viridiplantae; Streptophyta; Magnoliopsida; Caryophyllales; Amaranthaceae
Description: 5.8S ribosomal RNA
Rfam family: 5.8S ribosomal RNA
About the family: 5.8S ribosomal RNA (5.8S rRNA) is a component of the large subunit of the eukaryotic ribosome. It is transcribed by RNA polymerase I as part of the 45S precursor that also contains 18S and 28S rRNA. Functionally, it is thought that 5.8S rRNA may be involved in ribosome translocation.
Source: RNAcentral